CUGGUUUCUUAGAAAUCAGCUGCCUGGGCUUCCAGCUGCCGCCUGGACUUCAUCUCUCACCGAAGAGCCCCCUCACCCUGGGGGAGAAACUACGACCUCAAAGAAGUAUGGUGGUUUGAUCUGGCCAGGACUCCCAGCUGGAGUGGAGAUCCAGAAGCAGUCCACGUGUGCCCAGCCUCUCUCCUGAGCCAGACUCAAGGGAGAUGAAGAGACGGAGCAGGAGCCGGAGCCCCGAUGCCCUGUGUGAGCCCUGGAUCCAGCCGUACCUGAUCUCCACCUCCAGACUUACCUGUUACACAAACCACAGGUUUCCUUUUUUGGCUUAUCCUUGUCUGAGUUAUGUUGCUGUCACUUGCAACGCUAAGAGUCAAAACAACCCUUCGGCCUGGAAGAGCGAGGACUAGUUUUGGCAGGAUCUGGGGCCCAUGGUGAUCCCCGCUCUCCCUGGUGUCUGCCCUCCAGGAAAGGUGGGUUGCAGACACUUCCACAUCCCCAGGGUCCACGGGUUUUGUUAAUAACCGACUUUUUUUUUAACUUUGGGGAAAAAAAAUUCCACGUUUUUUAAAAAAAAAGUUCCUUCCCAUUUUUUUUUGAACAGACUAUUUUUAGAGCAGUUUUAGGUUCACACUGAAAUUGAGUGGAAAGCACAGAGUUUCCAUAUACCCACUGCUCCCACCCCACGCACUGCCUCCCCCACUACAACAUCCCACACCAGUCCACGUUCUUUCCUAACUUCCAUGUUUGUUUUUAAAUU
This is a long non-coding RNA of Nyctereutes procyonoides (raccoon dog), 754 nucleotides long. RefSeq lists it as uncharacterized. The transcript has 3 exons. The record is from RefSeq and is a predicted model, not a curated record. Lineage: Eukaryota; Metazoa; Chordata; Mammalia; Carnivora; Canidae.